UACGGAGGGGGCAAGCGUUGUUCGGAAUUACUGGGCGUAAAGGGCUCGUAGGCGGCCCUCUAAGUCAGACGUGAAAUCCCUCGGCUUAACCGGGGAACUGCGUCUGAUACUGGAGGGCUUGAGUUUGGGAGAGGGAUGCGGAAUUCCAGGUGUAGCGGUGAAAUGCGUAGAUAUCAAGAGGAACACCUGAGGUGAAGACGGGUUGCUGGGCUGACACUGACGCUGAGGCGCGAAAGCUAGGGUAGCAAACGGG
Molecule: ribosomal RNA, 253 nt
Filed under: uncultured bacterium
Lineage: Bacteria
Description: partial 16S ribosomal RNA
Rfam family: Bacterial small subunit ribosomal RNA
Source: RNAcentral